AGAGUUUGAUCAUGGCUCAGAAUGAACGUUGGCGGCGUGGAUUAGGCAUGCAAGUCGCACGAGAACCCGCAAGGGGGGACAGUGGCAAACGGCGUAGUAAGGCGUAGGUGACGUACCCCGAGGACCGGGAUAGCCACGGGAAACUGUGGGUAAUACCGGAUAAUUCCCCUCUUCUUGAAAAGGAGGGGCAAAGGUGAGAGUCCGUCUUGGGAGCGGCUUACGUAGUAUUAGCUAGUUGGUGAGGUGACGGCUCACCAAGGCGAUGAUGCUUAGGGGGUGUUAGCGCAUGACCCCCACGACUGGGACUGAGAUACUGCCCAGACACCUACGGGUGGCUGCAGUCGAGAAUCUUCGGCAAUGGGCGCAAGCCUGACCGAGCGACGCCGCGUGCGGGAUGAAGGCCCUUGGGUUGUAAACCGCUGUCAGAGGGGAUGAAAUGUAUGUGGGCACUCCCAUGUAUUUGACAUAGCCUCAGAGGAAGCACGGGCUAAGUUCGUG
This 498-nucleotide ribosomal RNA is filed under the name uncultured bacterium. Its description in RNAcentral is "bacterial SSU rRNA". It matches the Rfam family "Bacterial small subunit ribosomal RNA", at positions 8 to 507 of the family's 1533-position model. The record is from RNAcentral.